This is a non-coding RNA of Equus caballus (horse), 2834 nucleotides long. Lineage: Eukaryota; Metazoa; Chordata; Mammalia; Perissodactyla; Equidae. The record is from RefSeq and is a predicted model, not a curated record.
CAACAAUUAGAGGGCCUGCUUUCACUUUUUUUUCCUACUCUGACUGGAGUCCUUUAGAAAAUUAAUUCAGUUUCUUAGCAACUCAGAUGGGUAAAACUAUACUUUGGGUUCUUUUGUGAAGUAAAGGCUAAAUGCGCCCCUUAUAAACUACGUGUCGGCUUAGUCUUGCUCGGCCUUGCAGAAAAGAUUUUUACAACAAUCUCUCCGUUUCAUAUGAUUCCUACGUGUGAAAAUCCCUCCACCUAAUGUAUCUUGAGGCCCAGAAAGGCAGGAGAGGCAGGGAUCUUGCAAAGAGGCUGCAGCAUCCCACACAAGAUCUCAGUGCCAAAUGGAAAAAAAUCUCCUGCCAUCACCACAACCUGAAAUGAAAGUCAACGUAUGGGAAAUAAAGCCUCCUGAUUUUAGUUACAAACUGUAUAAAUCUAUGAGAUGUCCAGAAAAACCAUCAAGGACCAUGAAGGAAGAACAAAAGAGAAAAAAAAGCAAUUUUCAAGAAACAGUGCUUCACCUGCCCAGUAUAAAGAAGCAUCCUGAGAAGGCCACACCUCCCAAGUUUAUAACUACAUUCCCACAUGUGGAUUCACACAAAGCGAACUUAAUGUUUGUGAAGAGUGGAAAAUAUCCAAAUGGUGUAUACUUCAAUCCAAAACCACAUGACUUUAGACAGGGAACAAUACAAUUCAGAUUCAGCAAUAAAUGACAGAGGAGAGAGUACCAACGUAAUUUACCGAACUUUGUGACAACUUAUGAACGGGAUCCUUUUGGAUUAAAAUUUAAGGCACAACACUUAAGUGUAGCACAUGGGUGCCAGUUGCUGAAAGAUGAUGAACACAAGAACAGUAUGGAAAGAUUUAUCACCUACAAGCCUCGGGAACGCACUUGGGAUUCAAAACUAAUUUUACCAAAAGCUCCGUGGCCGGUUAGAUCUGGUUCCUACACGAGACAUAGACGGCAGCGGGAUGCGUACAGUGCAUUUAUGGAUCGUGUAGAAGAAAAGUUUACCAAGACAUGUAAGCAGAGGUUUCAGUGGAAUUCUGGAAAACUACCAGUGAUGAUGUCCUAAUUUCAGGCUUCAGAAACACUGUGGGUGCCGCCCACAUCCCCUCAGUCUUUGUCAUUCCCCACAUUUCUGCCUAACCUCCAAAGAUCAGCAUCUGCGUCUCUUUGCCCCAGGGCUUUCUCUGGCUGUUGGAGCUGCCCACAGCCGGUCAGACUGUUGGAGGUUUACCAUCUCCCAGCAGAAGGCCUCAAGCAAUAACUGAGUUGAUUGUUUUACGUCGUUCACCAGAUCUCCCCGAGGGCUUAAACUCCAGUUGACCCGGUAGUUACUUGCAUGUUGUUGGCUUCCUUCCUUUUCCCUUCUCGCCUGCCCACACUCUUACCUUCAUUUUGGGGAUCACCUCUGGUUUCUCUAGAAUCCCUGUUAAAUAUCUGCUUCAGAGGAAACUUAAAUCAAGACACCGGGAGACAGUAUAAUGACAGACAGAAGCCCAAAAGCCUGGCUUCGAAUCCCAGCCUUGCCACAUAAUCUUGGACAGGUCACUCUUCCUCAGUACUUUACCUGCAAUUUGGAAAUAGUGUGUACUAAGACACAGACAAGCGGGAUCUGAGUGACACUAUGUCUUGUAACUCCUCUUACCUCUCUUUAUUCACUUGUCAACGUCGUCUAUGGAAAGAGCGUGAAAGGGGAGAUUAACAUAAUGGACAGAGUUUGGGCUUUGGGUUUGGUCAAAAUGGAUUCAAAUUCUAACCAAACCACCCAUAACUGUGUAGUCUUGGAUGAUUUGCUUAAGUUUUCUGAACCAAUCUUUCUCGGGUUUUAGGAGAAUUAAAUAAAAAUGUGUAUAUAAACUGCUUGCAAAGUCCUUCAUAUCUUCUGAAUUCACUUAUUGUUGAUUAUUAUUGUUAACGAAAAUAUAGAGAUAUAGCUUUGCAUGACCAUGGAAAAGUUACUUAACUGUCUGUGGCUCAGUUUUCUCAUCUGUAAAAUGACAAUAAUAAUCGUACCAACUUCAUAAAGUUGUUAUGAAAAAUCAAAAGUUUGUAUUUGCAAAACACUUGGAACAUAGCACAUGACACUUAGUAAUUGUUAUAUAACUAUCUUAUGAAUAAAAACUCAACAACUAUGCAUUUGUGUCUACAAAAGAAAAUAUCUACAGUGUCUAAGGACUAGCCAAGUCAAGGGUGACUGAAAGAUGAGAGAAAGAGGAUGAGAGAGAGACAGAGAGAGGCUCCUCAGAAAGAUUAGUAAGAUUAGACUCGUGUAAACGAGGGGACUCCAGGGAGCGGAGAGCCAGCAGACAGCUAUUUCUAGAAGACGAGAUUGCAGAUGGGUACAUAAGGAGAAGAGACUUCAAAUGGGCAGAAAUUCAUUUUAUAUUUACAAGUGGUAGGUAUGAAGUGAUCCCACCCAAGACGUAGAGAUAGACUUAUCUUUACAAAGAUUAGAGCAGUUAUUUCAAACCAGAAAGAUCCUGUUCUAUAUACCAGAAAUUCUUGAUUGCUAUAGCAAUAGCAGGGGCUUCCUCUCUAUAAAUGACAUUGUACUUGAGCUCAGCAGUUGGGGCCUCAGUGCUAACUACUAUCUUGUAGCCAAACACAAAGGAAAUGACGUGGCAGUCCAUUACCAAGUUUCUUAAAGUGGUUACAGAAAAUCAUAGACUACCGCUGACUGAGCACUAUGAAUUCAGGGCUUCCAGCCUCAGCCAGAACCUUGUCCUUCCUAGCUGUCACUGCCUAGCUGUCACUGGGAAGCAUUUUCUUUUAUUAACUUCAAGAGCAAAUUGACUUUAAUAUCCCACAAGCUUCUUGAAAUAAAAAUGUUUUAAUCUGAA